Molecule: microRNA, 20 nt
Filed under: Corchorus olitorius
Lineage: Eukaryota; Viridiplantae; Streptophyta; Magnoliopsida; Malvales; Malvaceae
Description: ath-miR50
Source: RNAcentral
AGAGAAGAAGAAAAAGAAAA